UACGAAGGGGGCUAGCGUUGCUCGGAAUUACUGGGCGUAAAGCGCACGUAGGCGGUCUUUUAAGUCGGUGGUGAAAUCCUGGAGCUCAACUCCAGAACUGCCUUCGAUACUGGAAGACUUGAGUCCGGGAGAGGUGAGUGGAACUGCGAGUGUAGAGGUGAAAUUCGUAGAUAUUCGCAAGAACACCAGUGGCGAAGGCGGCUCACUGGCCCGGUACUGACGCUGAGGUGCGAAAGCGUGGGGAGCGAACAGG
Molecule: ribosomal RNA, 253 nt
Filed under: uncultured bacterium
Lineage: Bacteria
Description: partial 16S ribosomal RNA
Rfam family: Bacterial small subunit ribosomal RNA
Source: RNAcentral